AGUGAACGCUGGCGGUAGGCCUAACACAUGCAAGUCGAACGGCAGCACAGUAAGAGCUUGCUCUUACGGGUGGCGAGUGGCGGACGGGUGAGGAAUACUUCGGAAUCUACUUUUUCGUGGGGGAUAACGUAGGGAAACUUACGCUAAUACCGCAUACGACCUACGGGUGAAAGCAGGGGAUCUUCGGACCUUGCGCGAUUGAAUGAGCCGAUGUCGGAUUAGCUAGUUGGCGGGGUAAAGGCCCACCAAGGCGACGAUCCGUAGCUGGUCUGAGAGGAUGAUCAGCCACACUGGAACUGAGACACGGUCCAGACUCCUACGGGGGGCAGCAGUGGGGAAUAUUGGGCAAUGGGGGAAAGCCUGAUCCAGCCAUACCGCGUGGGUGAAGAAGGCCUUCGGGUUGUAAAGCCCUUUUGUUGGGAAAGAAAAGCAGCAGGUUAAGACCCCGCUGUUCUGACGGUACCCAAAGAAUAAGCACCGGCUAACUUCGUG
RNAcentral lists this ribosomal RNA (492 nucleotides) under uncultured bacterium. Its description in RNAcentral is "partial 16S ribosomal RNA". It matches the Rfam family "Bacterial small subunit ribosomal RNA", at positions 29 to 507 of the family's 1533-position model. The record is from RNAcentral.